CGCUAGCUACAGGCUUAACACAUGCAAGUCGAGGGGCAUCAGGAAGAAAGCUUGCUUUCUUUGCUGGCGACCGGCGCACGGGUGAGUAACACGUAUCCAACCUGCCCUUUACUCGGGGAUAGCCUUUCGAAAGAAAGAUUAAUACCCGAUAGUAUAAUGAUUCCGCAUGGUUUCAUUAUUAAAGGAUUCCGGUAAAGGAUGGGGAUGCGUUCCAUUAGGUUGUUGGUGAGGUAACGGCCCACCAAGCCUUCGAUGGAUAGGGGUUCUGAGAGGAAGGUCCCCCACAUUGGAACUGAGACACGGUCCAAACUCCUACGGGAGGCAGCAGUGAGGAAUAUUGGUCAAUGGGCGCUAGCCUGAACCAGCCAAGUAGCGUGAAGGAUGAAGGCUCUAUGGGUCGUAAACUUCUUUUAUAUAAGAAUAAAGUGCAGUAUGUAUACUGUUUUGUAUGUAUUAUAUGAAUAAGGAUCGGCUAACUCCGUGCCAGCAGCCGCGGUAAUACGGAGGAUCCGAGCGUUAUCCGGAUUUAUUGGGUUUAAAGGGAGCGUAGGUGGACUGGUAAGUCAGUUGUGAAAGUUUGCGGCUCAACCGUAAAAUUGCAGUUGAUACUGUCAGUCUUGAGUACAGUAGAGGUGGGCGGAAUUCGUGGUGUAGCGGUGAAAUGCUUAGAUAUCACGAAGAACUCCGAUUGCGAAGGCAGCUCACUGGACUGCAACUGACACUGAUGCUCGAAAGUGUGGGUAUCAAACAGGAUUAGAUACCCUGGUAGUCCACACAGUAAACGAUGAAUACUCGCUGUUUGCGAUAUACAGUAAGCGGCCAAGCGAAAGCAUUAAGUAUUCCACCUGGGGAGUACGCCGGCAACGGUGAAACUCAAAGGAAUUGACGGGGGCCCGCACAAGCGGAGGAACAUGUGGUUUAAUUCGAUGAUACGCGAGGAACCUUACCCGGGCUUAAAUUGCAGUGGAAUGAUGUGGAAACAUGUCAGUGAGCAAUCACCGCUGUGAAGGUGCUGCAUGGUUGUCGUCAGCUCGUGCCGUGAGGUGUCGGCUUAAGUGCCAUAACGAGCGCAACCCUUAUCUUUAGUUACUAACAGGUCAUGCUGAGGACUCUGGAGAGACUGCCGUCGUAAGAUGUGAGGAAGGUGGGGAUGACGUCAAAUCAGCACGGCCCUUACGUCCGGGGCUACACACGUGUUACAAUGGGGGGUACAGAAGGCAGCUAGCGGGUGACCGUAUGCUAAUCCCAAAAUCCUCUCUCAGUUCGGAUCGAAGUCUGCAACCCGACUUCGUGAAGCUGGAUUCGCUAGUAAUCGCGCAUCAGCCACGGCGCGGUGAAUACGUUCCCGGGCCUUGUACACACCGCCCGUCAAGCCAUGGGAGCCGGGGGUACCUGAAGUACGUAACCGCAAGGAUCGUCCUAGGGUAAAACUGGUGA
Molecule: ribosomal RNA, 1437 nt
Filed under: uncultured organism
Description: 16S ribosomal RNA
Rfam family: Bacterial small subunit ribosomal RNA
Source: RNAcentral